UGGGGAAUAUUGCACACUGGAGGGAACUCUGAUGCAGCGACGCCGCGUGAACGAAGAAGGCUUUCGAGUCGUAAAGUUCUUUUAUAUGGGAAGAUAAUGACGGUACCAUAAGAAAAAGCCCCGGCUAACUACGUGCCAGCAGCCGCGGUAAUACGUAGGGGGCUAGCGUUGUCCGGAAUCACUGGGCGUAAAGGGUUCGCAGGCGGAAAUGCAAGUCAGGUGUAAAAGGCAGUAGCUUAACUACUGUAAGCAUUUGAAACUGCAUAUCUUGAGAAGAGUAGAGGUAAGUGGAAUUUUUAGUGUAGCGGUGAAAUGCGUAGAUAUUAAAAAGAAUACCGGUGGCGAAGGCGACUUACUGGGCUCAUUCUGACGCUGAGGAACGACAGCGUGGGUAGCAAACAGG
This 403-nucleotide ribosomal RNA is filed under the name bacterium. RNAcentral's name for it is "partial 16S ribosomal RNA". It matches the Rfam family "Bacterial small subunit ribosomal RNA", at positions 355 to 776 of the family's 1533-position model. The record is from RNAcentral.